Long non-coding RNA from Mesocricetus auratus (golden hamster), 1229 nucleotides. RefSeq lists it as uncharacterized. The record is from RefSeq and is a predicted model, not a curated record. NCBI's taxonomy places the organism in Eukaryota, Metazoa, Chordata, Mammalia, Rodentia, Cricetidae. The transcript has 2 exons.
UGUCAGCUCAGUGGUUGGAGUGGAUACUGUACAAACAUGAGCACUCCGAGCUCUGCUACCCAGUGUCUAUGUAAAACCAAGCAUCGCUGCCUCUGUGCCUGAAACUCCAGCUGUGGGGACAAGACAGGUAGUUUGGGGGUUCACUGGCAACCAGUCUGGCUGAAGUGAUGAGUUCCAGCUUUAAUGAGAGACCCUGACUCAAAAAAUAAGGUGGGGUGAUUGAUGAACAUACCUGAUGUUGACCUCUGUCCUCCAUGUGCACAUAUAUAGUUUGUGCACACGCAUACAUACACUGCACGUACCUCUCUAUACAUGUGCAUGAGGCCUAUCUAUCAGCAUAUUUUUAUGUGUAAUACCCCACUGUUGACAAUAGAUACAAUUUUACACACCAGAUUUAGGUCUUUAUCUUGUUUGACUGAAACUUGAUGCAUUUUAUUUAAAAAGUCCCCAUUUUCCUUUCACCAGACCCGACUAAACACCAUUCUACUGAGAAUUCAAUGACUUUGAUUAUUUUGGAUACAUUAUAUAAGCAGGAUUAUAAAAUGUAUUUAUCUUCCUGUGUACAGUUCAUUUCCACUAAGCACAUCACCCUCCAGGCUCAUUAAUAUUAUUGCAAAUGAUAGGAUUUGCUUAGUUUUCAUGAUCAAAUAGUAUUCAGUUGCAUAUGUAAGCCAAAAUUUGUUUGUCCUUUUAUCAGUUGACAGAUGUCUAGACGGAUUCCAUCUCUUGGCUCUCAUGAAUACUACUACAAUAAAUACGGCAGUGCAGGCUCUUGUGCCCACUGUACAUGGUGAUGGAUCGAACGAAGAUGGGAACAUCAAGGAGAGCUCUCAGGACCCAGUGAAUUUUAGCACACUUUGGGUGUGCCAUAAGUAAAUCUGUCCUUCGGGGGAGCAUUCUUAGAUGGCGUCCAGCAAGCAUGACACAUUUAAUUGCAUCACUUAUCUUGCAUGUGUUUCUGGGCAUCUCUUCCUAAAGGGCCCUCUCACCUUCCCCUGUGCAAUCUAAGGAAGCUGCCGUGGUUGAGUCACUAUGUGCACAACCCACAACAGAAGUUGGGAAAUGACCUGUAUUGGUCAGGCCUCUCCAUAGGAAAAAAUCAAGUAUAUAUCUAAUGUAUACAUUAUUUACAUAUUAUAGUACUAAUUUAUUAUAAUGAUUGACUCACACAAUGAUGGAGACUAAGUCCUGGAUAGGACAUGUAUAAAUAAAAGAUCCAGGAAAAUUGA